This is a long non-coding RNA of Gasterosteus aculeatus aculeatus (three-spined stickleback), 3127 nucleotides long. NCBI's taxonomy places the organism in Eukaryota, Metazoa, Chordata, Actinopteri, Perciformes, Gasterosteidae. The record is from Ensembl.
GUGAAAGUUGUUUCAACGUCUAUUCGUAGACGUUGAAAAGACGUUCACGUAUAGACCCGUUUUCAACGUGAUUUAUAAUAUCGGUGGUAAACUUACAAAUGUGGACGUAGUUUCCUUUUAAACCUCUAAAAUAAUGAUAUAGCACACAAGAGAGGACGAAAUAUUACCGUAUUAAAAAAUCACGUUGAAAUGUGGUCUAAACAUAGACGUCUUUUCAACGUCUACGAAUAGACGUUGAAACAACUUUCACUUUUAAACCAUUUUGCAACGUCGGGCAUAGACGUCUUUUCAACGUCGGGCAUAGACGUCUUUUAAACGUCUUUUCAACCAAAAAAUGCUCACUGGGAUAAGUUAACGUAACCUUAUUUGAAGGUAAUGGUGGGUUUCCCCUGCCUGUCGUAAAUGGCAUGCCUGACCACACUAGCUAUACACUCCAAAUUCGAUUGAAUUAACGUUAGGUAACAAGAAACAUUGGUUUAAAAAAUAAAUUUCUUUGCUGUUACCACGGACAUAUCACGUUAAUUAUGUAUAUUUGCGUAUUAUGAUCCUUGGCAGACUAUCGCGUUGGCACCACAACAUCCCUGCCUAAAACUGAAGUAACUGCCCCUCUCCCCCUUUGCCAUUCAGAUAUUUAGUCAAUUAUUUAUGAUCAAGGUGAUAAUGAGAUAGGAUCAGACAUCUGUCAAGUAAACCGUGCAAAUGUGAUUUGAUAUCGCUCAGAGAGACAGCAAAUAAUUAUUUCAGUGUUGACUUGCUGUCGACAUCCCAUCAUCAUUUGAACCCUAUACCUAAACCCCCCGGUAGGGUCAAUUUAAUGGCAAAUAAUAUAGUUUUGCUUCAAGUCAUGUUGGAAGAUUAAAUAUGUAAAUGUUAAAAAUAGGUUUCUGUAUUGUAGUCAAUUCACUCAAACCACAUAGAAUUCCCUGAGUUUAUCUGUUGGAAAUAUUUGACUUUUUUUAACUGAUUCCUGAUCAUGAAUAUGAAUUGAUGUGUUCUGUGGAAAUGAAUAAAAAAAGAUUAAUACCUGUUAGUUGACCAAGAUCGAGCUUUGAUUACAAAAGGGCCUUCCAAAACUGCUGUUCACUAGGAAUUGAAGGCAGGAUUAAGGUUGCUCUCCUUUGAGUCACACUGUGAAAGAAAGAUCCAUUUGGACUCUGUGUAACAUUUGCCAACAGAGAAACAACCACUUUUUUAAUCACUGUUCUUUAACCCAGAUGAAGACCCUCCUUACCAGUUAGUGUUUUUUCUCUUGCAGAUUAAUCUUGGCUUGAUGACUGCUCAGAAGGGUGUUUUAAAGCCCUCACGUGGGAAAACCAUUCCCUUAUCAACCGUCUCUGACAUCACCGCUCAAAGUCUUCUUCAUCACAGUGUGAAGAAAAUGAGGGACUUUAACCAAGACCUGGGUGAAGGAGCCUUCAUCCUUCUGUAUCCAGAUGCAUCUGAAGUCAUCAAUACCCCUGGGACACAAAGACCUUUUAUUCUAGAAAAAUAUAAAGCAGAAUUAGGCAAACCAUAUUCAAGGAUCACAAUUUUUAUCUGCCCAAAGACGGUCUUUGAAGAAGUUGGAAAAGUGUCUGACAUUUCUGACUCUGACACAGAGAUUGUGAUAAAAAGAGCCCUCACAACAUUUGAGCUAGCUGACACGUUGCCAUGUGAACCUGUGCAUGAAAGCAGUGCAAUACAGACGAAUACAGAGGAUAUCCGUCCAAGUACCUCCGGAUGUCCUCGAAUGGCGAGAACAUAUUACAGCAACUACACAGACCUGUAUGCGCCUAUCGUCAGUGAUGACGACGACGAUGAAGAUGAAGUUCUAACUGUCAAAGAAAAUAAUGAGGCAUCUCCUAGAACCAAUGUGAGUCAUGAGUGCUAUAUUAUUAUAGUAUUAUCCAUCCAUUGUACGAGUAGUCAUUGGCGCUUUCCAUUGACCACAGCAAAGUCAACAGAUUCCACGUGUCCAGAUCUAAUGUAUGGGAUGGUGCUGUCAGAGGUUUUCAGCGUUGCACGUACUCCGAGGAGAAUGACAUGUUUGUGAAGUUUACCGAUGAAGAAGGCCUAGAUACCGGCGGGCCGAGGCGGGAAUUCCUCACGCUUCUGAUGAAUGAUCUGAUCUUUAACGGACCUCCAGCAAGCCGUUACCUGGUGUACAACUCUACAGGUGUCUGUUUUUCAUGGAAUUUCUUUUUUUUUGUCCAAAUAUUUUGAUGAAAGUAUUAUUUUUGUUGUACAUUAAGUCACACUUUCUGCCAAAUUUAAGCACUUUAAAAUAAGGGUUAAGGCUGGACACGACCCCUUUAGUCUUGUUAAACUUUCUGGCCAUAGUCCCAUGAUUUACCACUUGAAUGCUUUAAAAGUGACUGCAGAUUAGAUUGUGUGACAUUCACAAAUGGUAAAGCAUGUUCAGUGAAAAGCUUGUUUGUGGGUUGAGUGUUUUGACAGUGAAGUAGCUCUUACUGAUAGUCAGAGAUUUAAGGUUGAAACAUAUUAUGUCAUCAUUGACAGACUUUGUUUGUGCCCAUCGAAGCCUACACACAUGCGUGUGACUUCUUUGGAGUUUGAUUUGAGGGGGACUGCAAUGAUUGUGAUGUGCGUGAAAGCGCUGCUAAGCUGUGCUCCACUUAUCCGACAGAUCUGGAUAGUUCCUUCUCAGACAAACUUAUUCAGUUCAAGCACUUGACUUCACCUGUACAUCUUCUGCAAGCUCUUGAGAGACAUGGACUUAAGACAACAUUUCCAAAUGUUUAUGUUGCAAUAAGCAUGUUUUUAACCUUGCCUUUGUCUAACUGUGAGAGGUCGUUUUCUGUUUUGAAACGAGUUAAAAAUGAGCUGAGGACCACAAUGUCACAGACACGGCUCUCUGCACGUCGAACAUGAACUUGUUAGUGCCCUUGAUAUUGUACACCAGUUUGCAGAAAAGUCCAGAAAAUGCCACUGUAAGAUGUGUUUGCCAAAUGAAACCAAGCAUUUCAAAUUUAAACAUGCACUUUCCCAUUAUUUAGGAUUAAAAUUGUGUAUGUUGACACAUUAUGUCGCAUUUCUGUAAAUUGUUUAUUGUUGAGAAAAAACAGGCAGAUUUCAAAAUGUUUAUAUUGCACUAUAACUUGAUUGUCCUUGUCCGUGGACUUCCUCU